Molecule: unclassified non-coding RNA, 364 nt
Filed under: uncultured fungus
Lineage: Eukaryota; Fungi
Description: sequence contains ITS1
Rfam family: 5.8S ribosomal RNA (bases 1-96)
Source: RNAcentral
AAACUGCGAAAAGUAAUGUGACCUGCAACCUUUGAGAAACAUCCAAUAUUUGAACGCACCUUGCACCAGGCAGCUGGUAUACUUGAUUGAGAAUCGUAUAUAGUGAUAGUUGAGCAGUCAUUGAGAUGAUGUUUGAAAUGUGGGUGGGGUUAGUGGGAUAAAUGAGACAUUAACCCUGCGAGCAGUGUGUGAAGAGUAUUUAUACAUUUAGUAUGAAUAGUACAAUGCAUAUGGCACAUGGUCAGCACGCAGUCGCAUCGCAAUGUCUGACGGCAACACGAUGUGACAGGUGCCGGAGCCUCGAGUCGCUUGCGACGAGCCAGCAAAAGAUCUCAAAUCAAGUAGGGAUACCCGCUGAAUUUAA